Molecule: ribosomal RNA, 811 nt
Filed under: uncultured Lactococcus sp.
Lineage: Bacteria; Bacillati; Bacillota; Bacilli; Lactobacillales; Streptococcaceae
Description: bacterial SSU rRNA
Rfam family: Bacterial small subunit ribosomal RNA
Source: RNAcentral
UAGAGUUUGAUCAUGGCUCAGGACGAACGCUGGCGGCGUGCCUAAUACAUGCAAGUUGAGCGCUGAAGGUUGGUACUUGUACCAACUGGAUGAGCAGCGAACGGGUGAGUAACGCGUGGGGAAUCUGCCUUUGAGCGGGGGACAACAUUUGGAAACGAAUGCUAAUACCGCAUAAAAACUUUAAACACAAGUUUUAAGUUUGAAAGAUGCAAUUGCAUCACUCAAAGAUGAUCCCGCGUUGUAUUAGCUAGUUGGUGAGGUAAAGGCUCACCAAGGCGAUGAUACAUAGCCGACCUGAGAGGGUGAUCGGCCACAUUGGGACUGAGACACGGCCCAAACUCCUACGGGAGGCAGCAGUAGGGAAUCUUCGGCAAUGGACGAAAGUCUGACCGAGCAACGCCGCGUGAGUGAAGAAGGUUUUCGGAUCGUAAAACUCUGUUGGUAGAGAAGAACGUUGGUGAGAGUGGAAAGCUCAUCAAGUGACGGUAACUACCCAGAAAGGGACGGCUAACUACGUGCCAGCAGCCGCGGUAAUACGUAGGUCCCGAGCGUUGUCCGGAUUUAUUGGGCGUAAAGCGAGCGCAGGUGGUUUAUUAAGUCUGGUGUAAAAGGCAGUGGCUCAACCAUUGUAUGCAUUGGAAACUGGUAGACUUGAGUGCAGGAGAGGAGAGUGGAAUUCCAUGUGUAGCGGUGAAAUGCGUAGAUAUAUGGAGGAACACCGGUGGCGAAAGCGGCUCUCUGGCCUGUAACUGACACUGAGGCUCGAAAGCGUGGGGAGCGAACAGGAUUAGAUACCCUGGUAGUCCACGCC